RNAcentral lists this ribosomal RNA (1157 nucleotides) under Vibrionaceae bacterium TUN10. Its description in RNAcentral is "16S ribosomal RNA". It matches the Rfam family "Bacterial small subunit ribosomal RNA". Lineage: Bacteria; Pseudomonadati; Pseudomonadota; Gammaproteobacteria; Vibrionales; Vibrionaceae. The record is from RNAcentral.
AGCGCAGCUACCAUGCAGUCGAGCGGAACGAGUUAACUGAACCUUCGGGGGACGUUAACGGCGUCGAGCGGCGGACGGGUGAGUAAUGCCUGGGAAAUUGCCCUGAUGUGGGGGAUAACCAUUGGAAACGAUGGCUAAUACCGCAUAAUAGCUUCGGCUCAAAGAGGGGGACCUUCGGGCCUCUCGCGUCAGGAUAUGCCCAGGUGGGAUUAGCUAGUUGGUGAGGUAAUGGCUCACCAAGGCGACGAUCCCUAACUGGUCUGAGAGGAUGAUCAGCCACACUGGAACUGAGACACGGUCCAGACUCCUACGGGAGGCAGCAGUGGGGAAUAUUGCACAAUGGGCGCAAGCCUGAUGCAGCCAUGCCGCGUGUGUGAAGAAGGCCUUCGGGUUGUAAAGCACUUUCAGCCGUGAGGAAGGUGGUGUAGUUAAUAGCUGCAUCAUUGUGACCCUUGAGCUGCAGAAGAAGCACUUCGGAGCUAACGCCGUGACAGCAGACCGCCUGGUAGAGUACGGAGGGUCGCAAGAGUUAAAACUCAAAUGAAUUGACGGGGGCCCGCACAAGCGCAUGCAGCAUGUGGUUUAAUUAGAUGUCAGACGCGAAGAACCUUACCGAGCUCAUGACAUCCAGAGAACUUAGCAUUUGAAAUGCUUUGGCUGACUACGAGAACUCUGAGACAGGUGCUGCAUGGCUAGAAUCGUCAGCUCGUAGCGGUGAAAUGCGUAGAGAUCUGAAGGAAUACCGGUCGCGAACGAGCGCAACCCUUAUCCUUGUUUGACAGCACUACGGGUGGGACACUCCAGAUGCGAAGACGUGCCGGUGAGCAAACCGGAGGAUAGAUGGGGACGACUGUCAAGUCAUCACGGCCCUAACGAUGUCUACUGAGUGCUGACACACGUGCUACGAACUACGCGCAGUAACAGACUGGGCAGUACCAACUUGCGAAAGUGAGCGAAUCCCAAAAAGUGCGUCGUAGUCCGGAUUGGAGUCUGCAACUCGACUCCAUGAAGUCGGAAUCGCUAGUAAUCGUGGAUCAGAAUGCCACGGUGAAUACGUUCCCGGGCCUUGUACACACCGCCCGUCACACCAUGGGAGUGGGCUGCAAAAGAAGUGGGUAGUUUAACCUUCGGAGGACGCUCACCACCUUGGUGGGGGG